ACUCUCUCCCUGCUGGAGUUGCUCCAGUGAAGCAUUGUCUGGUUCCAAAAUCCAGGCAUGAGAGCAUCUCCUUCUCUGCCCAGUGGUUGGUUUACACGUGUCCUGAAGUGAGACUCGUGAUUGUCUGAAUGUGACCAAAUGUCUUGGUGUGUGAGGACUCCAAGCACUAGCCAGGCAGAGAUCCUUCUCCUGCAAUGUCCUGGCAAUGGCUGGCUGAGGUAUAAUGUUCCUCUUUUGCAGGAAACAGCCUGCAGUAGCUUCUGCACACAUUGUGCUGCCCCACACAGUUGUUCCCUUCCUUGUGCUGAAUUAGGACCCUUGGGAAUAAGGGCCAGGCAUUUAAUCCCCAGACACAGUUGCCUUUGUCCUCUGUCCUUCUCCUAGUACCCACUGACCUCAUCUCUUGGUUCCCGUCACUCUUUUCCAGAUAAUGGGGUGCUGACCUCCCUUCUAAAGGUGGACACCCUGAUGAUGCAGGGUAAUAUGGGUAGCUACACUAAUUUAUUCUAUUUCCCUUCCAUGCUGCUCAGCUAGAAUUCUUGUCAUCCUGCCCUCUAAGUUGCUACCCACACCUUCGUGAGGGCAUCUUCAGGGAAAACAAGAAGGUAAACAAUACAACAUGGUUCUCAAGCAAGUGUUCACUUCUCAGUCUUAUAUUUUUCUUUUCUAAUUUUUUAAUGAAAGGAGUAACACAGUCAGCGGUAGAAACUAAAUGGUCUCUGACAAAGGAUAGUCACUGUAUACUUUAUUCGUGUAUGAAGUGUAUUCACAUGAAUUACAAGACUGGUUCAGGCUGAGGCGGUUAAUAUCUAUUAGUAGGAGCUAGGCAGAGCAAUUGGAACAGCUCUUCCAGUUAAAAAAAAAAUUCUUACAAAAACAGGAACUGGCCAGGCACAAGAGUUCACGCCUGUAAUCCCAGCACUUUGGGAGGCUGAGGCAGAUGAAUUACUUGAUCCCAGGGGCAAGACAAGCCUGGGCAACAUAGUGAGACCCCAUCUCUAUUUAAUUAAAAACAAACAAAC
Molecule: long non-coding RNA, 1022 nt
Filed under: Homo sapiens (human)
Lineage: Eukaryota; Metazoa; Chordata; Mammalia; Primates; Hominidae
Description: non-protein coding lnc-ARHGAP20-11:2
Source: RNAcentral